GCCUAACACAUGCAAGUCGAGCGGAAACGAGUUAUCUGAACCUUCGGGGGAACGAUAACGGCGUCGAGCGGCGGACGGGUGAGUAAUGCCUAGGAAAUUGCCCUGAUGUGGGGGAUAACCAUUGGAAACGAUGGCUAAUACCGCAUAAUGCCUACGGGCCAAAGAGGGGGACCUUCGGGCCUCUCGCGUCAGGAUAUGCCUAGGUGGGAUUAGCUAGUUGGUGAGGUAAUGGCUCACCAAGGCGACGAUCCCUAGCUGGUCUGAGAGGAUGAUCAGCCACACUGGAACUGAGACACGGUCCAGACUCCUACGGGAGGCAGCAGUGGGGAAUAUUGCACAAUGGGCGCAAGCCUGAUGCAGCCAUGCCGCGUGUGUGAAGAAGGCCUUCGGGUUGUAAAGCACUUUCAGUCGUGAGGAAGGUGGUAGUGUUAAUAGCACUAUCAUUUGACGUUAGCGACAGAAGAAGCACCGGCUAACUCCGUGCCAGCAGCCGCGGUAAA
This 500-nucleotide ribosomal RNA is filed under the name Vibrio harveyi. Its description in RNAcentral is "bacterial SSU rRNA". It matches the Rfam family "Bacterial small subunit ribosomal RNA", at positions 46 to 524 of the family's 1533-position model. Lineage: Bacteria; Pseudomonadati; Pseudomonadota; Gammaproteobacteria; Vibrionales; Vibrionaceae. The record is from RNAcentral.